RNAcentral lists this ribosomal RNA (305 nucleotides) under uncultured bacterium. RNAcentral's name for it is "bacterial SSU rRNA". It matches the Rfam family "Bacterial small subunit ribosomal RNA", at positions 334 to 632 of the family's 1533-position model. The record is from RNAcentral.
UUCUCCUACGGGGCGCAGCAGUGGGGAAUAUUGCGCAAUGGGCGAAAGCCUGACGCAGCGACGCCGCGUGAGGGAUGAAGGUCUUCGGAUCGUAAACCUCUGUCAGCAGGGAAGAACGGUCACUGUGCUAAUCAGCAGUGAAUUGACGGUACCUGCAAAGGAAGCACCGGCUAACUCCGUGCCAGCAGCUGCGGUAAUACGGAGGAUGCGAGCGUUAUCCGGAUUUAUUGGGUUUAAAGGGUGCGUAGGCGGAAUGCCAAGUCAGCGGUAAAAUCGCGGGGCUCAACCUCGCUCCGCCGUUGAAA